GAUGAACGCUAGCGAUAGGCUUAACACAUGCAAGUCGAGGGGCAGCAUGGUCUUAGCUUGCUAAGGCUGAUGGCGACCGGCGCACGGGUGCGUAACGCGUAUGCAACUUGCCUCACAGAGGGGGAUAACCCGUCGAAAGACGGACUAAUACCGCGUACACUCUAUGUUGGGCAUCCAAUGUAGAGGAAAUGAAAUUCGCUGUGAGAUAGGCAUGCGUCCCAUUAGCUAGUUGGUGAGGUAACGGCUCACCAAGGCGACGAUGGGUAGGGGAACUGAGAGGUUGAACCCCCACACUGGUACUGAGACACGGACCAGACUCCUACGGGAGGCAGCAGUGAGGAAUAUUGGUCAAUGGGCGAGAGCCUGAACCAGCCAAGUCGCGUGAACGAUGACUGUCUUAUGGAUUGUAAACUUCUUUUAUACGGGAAUAACAAGAGUCACGUGUGGCUCCCUGCAUGUACCGUAUGAAUAAGCAUCGGCUAACUCCGUG
RNAcentral lists this ribosomal RNA (490 nucleotides) under uncultured bacterium. Its description in RNAcentral is "partial 16S ribosomal RNA". It matches the Rfam family "Bacterial small subunit ribosomal RNA", at positions 28 to 507 of the family's 1533-position model. The record is from RNAcentral.